AUAGACUCCUGAACUAUAAGAGCCGGAAGAAGAACCUUGCAGAGUAUCUGUAGUUAAUCCUCUACCACACUCUCAAAAACGGAAGGCCUAGAGAAGGGAAGAGAUGGUCUGAGGCAAUCUACUUUCUCAACUGUCACAGCCUAGUGUUGGACAACGAGAAUAAUGAAGUAGGAUCACAUGGCGAAAAGAAUAGCUGACUAGGAGUGAGGCUAUCUGGAGACUGGUCUCAGCUCUCCUGUCUCCAAGCAGGAAAAACUCCUUCCACGACGCUGAGAGCACAGCCUGGGGACAGGAUGCCCUCUCUGCUAACCUUGGGACCAGCUCAAAUUUUCUCCCACCCCUGAAGAUAUGUCUUUACUCUCUCUACCUCCACAAACUUCCACCCAGAUCUAAAGUAAAAACUCCAGUGAAGACGAGGAGGCGCUUCAGGUCUUUGCUACUAAACCCCCUUCUCAUUACACAAAUGGUAAACUCAGGGAAAGGAAACAAUUUGUGCAAGGUCACGGA
Molecule: long non-coding RNA, 507 nt
Organism: Ailuropoda melanoleuca (giant panda)
Lineage: Eukaryota; Metazoa; Chordata; Mammalia; Carnivora; Ursidae
Exons: 3
Source: RefSeq, a predicted model, not a curated record